UGAGGAAUAUUGGACAAUGGGGGCAACCCUGAUCCAGCCAUGCCGCGUGCAGGAAGACUGCCCUAUGGGUUGUAAACUGCUUUUAUAGAGGAAGAAUGCCCACUACGUGUAGUGGUUUGACGGUACUCUACGAAUAAGGAUCGGCUAACUCCGUGCCAGCAGCCGCGGUAAUACGGAGGAUCCAAGCGUUAUCCGGAAUCAUUGGGUUUAAAGGGUCCGUAGGCGGAUCAGUAAGUCAGUGGUGAAAGUUUGCGGCUCAACCGUAAAAUUGCCAUUGAUACUGCUGGUCUUGAAUCAUUGUGAAGUGGUUAGAAUAAGUAGUGUAGCGGUGAAAUGCAUAGAUAUUACUUAGAAUACCGAUUGCGAAGGCAGAUCACUAACAAUUGAUUGACGCUAAGGGACGAAAGCGUGGGUAGCGAACAGGAUUAGAUACCCCCGUAGUCC
RNAcentral lists this ribosomal RNA (444 nucleotides) under uncultured prokaryote. RNAcentral describes it as "bacterial SSU rRNA". It matches the Rfam family "Bacterial small subunit ribosomal RNA", at positions 355 to 796 of the family's 1533-position model. The record is from RNAcentral.